Molecule: ribosomal RNA, 496 nt
Filed under: uncultured bacterium
Lineage: Bacteria
Description: partial 16S ribosomal RNA
Rfam family: Bacterial small subunit ribosomal RNA
Source: RNAcentral
AUGAACGCUGGCGGCGUGCCUAAUACAUGCAAGUCGAGCGAACAGACGAGGAGCUUGCUCCUCUGACGUUAGCGGCGGACGGGUGAGUAACACGUGGAUAACCUACCUAUAAGACUGGGAUAACUUCGGGAAACCGGAGCUAAUACCGGAUAAUAUAUUGAACCGCAUGGUUCAAUAGUGAAAGACGGUUUUGCUGUCACUUAUAGAUGGAUCCACGCCGCAUUAGCUAGUUGGUAAGGUAACGGCUUACCAAGGCAACGAUGCGUAGCCGACCUGAGAGGGUGAUCGGCCACACUGGAACUGAGACACGGCCCAGACUCCUACGGGAGGCAGCAGUAGGGAAUCUUCCGCAAUGGGCGAAAGCCUGACGGAGCAACGCCGCGUGAGUGAUGAAGGUCUUCGGAUCGUAAAACUCUGUUAUUAGGGAAGAACAAAUGUGUAAGUAACUAUGCACGUCUUGACGGUACCUAAUCAGAAAGCCACGGCUAACUACGUG